Molecule: non-coding RNA, 253 nt
Filed under: uncultured bacterium
Lineage: Bacteria
Also listed under: 1 other name
Description: partial 16S ribosomal RNA
Rfam family: Bacterial small subunit ribosomal RNA
Source: RNAcentral
UACGUAGGGGGCAAGCGUUAUCCGGAAUUACUGGGUGUAAAGGGAGCGUAGACGGUAAAGCAAGUCUGGAGUGAAAGGCUGGGGCCCAACCCCGGGACUGCUCUGGAAACUGUUAAACUGGAGUGCAGGAGAGGCAGGCGGAAUUCCUAGUGUAGCGGUGAAAUGCGUAGAUAUUAGGAGGAACACCAGUGGCGAAGGCGGCCUGCUGGACUGUAACUGACGUUGAGGCUCGAAAGCGUGGGGAGCAAACAGG